CUUGCUUGUACGUAAUUAGAGGUUCUUAACUGAAUUUUCUUGUGAAAAUCCAAGUUUUGGGAUAAAGUGAGAUCGUCUAUUGUUUCAAUAUUGCUAGUUUGUUUGUUGGAAUAGCAAUAUUACCCUUGUGGGGAUUAAACACGUACUUCUGCUACGACGAGGAGCAUUCAAUUUUAAAGGCCGCCUAACAACUUAAGGCCUUUUUCUUUUCCUGUCUACGUAUAUUUUCAUCCUCUAAUUUCCUUCUGCGAGUAUAAGAGUUUUGUGGAUUUUGGAUCGUCCCGUUUGAACGGAACAUCGGAAAUAUCGUAGUUUCAAUCUGAAAGAAAAAGGAGGAAAACAACUUGAGGAGGAUUUUCGACAUCGUGGAUUGGUUGAGAUCUUUGAAUUGGUAAUUUCAUCGUUGGGAUCUUCGAAUUGGUAAUUUCAUCAUUCGAUUGGAAAUUCCUGGUAUGUACAGAGAAUUUUUCUGACAUUGACGUCAAGGAAGCCAUUUGUGAAAAGUGGACAUAUUGUUCAUGUGACAUCUGAAUUUACGUCUUUCUCAUAUUAAUUUGAUCAAGUCAAUCAAUUAUGGUCACUUUUUGUAAUAAUAAUAGGGAGUUUAGAUAUUUGUCCUUACAUUCAUUCAGGAAAUUUCAGAUUUAAUUUUAUUCCAUGCAUAGACUGUUUACUGUUAGAGUGAAUUUGAAAAGACAAUAUCUCAAUAUAUAUA
Long non-coding RNA from Coccinella septempunctata (seven-spotted ladybird), 715 nucleotides. RefSeq lists it as uncharacterized. The record is from RefSeq and is a predicted model, not a curated record. The transcript has 2 exons. Lineage: Eukaryota; Metazoa; Arthropoda; Insecta; Coleoptera; Coccinellidae.